RNAcentral lists this ribosomal RNA (253 nucleotides) under uncultured bacterium. Its description in RNAcentral is "partial 16S ribosomal RNA". It matches the Rfam family "Bacterial small subunit ribosomal RNA", at positions 524 to 776 of the family's 1533-position model. The record is from RNAcentral.
GACAGAGGAGGCUAGCGUUGUUCGGAAUCACUGGGCUUAAAGCGGGUGUAGGCGGCUCGGUAAGUACUUUGUGAAAUCUUUCGGCUCAACCGGGGAAAUGCUGGGUAUACUGCCGGGCUUGAGGCAAGUAGGGGCCACUGGAGCUCUAGGUGGAGCGGUGAAAUGCGUAGAUAUCUAGAGGAACGCCUGAGGCGAAAGCGGGUGGCUGGGCUUGUCCUGACGCUGAGACGCGAAAGCGUGGGGAGCAAACGGG